This 72-nucleotide non-coding RNA is filed under the name Shewanella algae. The record is from RNAcentral. RNAcentral also lists the same sequence under 1 other name. Lineage: Bacteria; Pseudomonadati; Pseudomonadota; Gammaproteobacteria; Alteromonadales; Shewanellaceae.
AAGCGAAACCACCGGCAUUCGUGCCGGUUGGUCUGCCUGGUGUAGUGGCCUGGCACUGAUGAGCAGCUAAUA